GCUUAACACAUGCAAGUCGUGCGACGAACCAGACUUCGGGUCUAGGGGCAAAGCGGCGAACGGGUGAGUAACACGUGGGUAAUCUGCCCCGAUGACUGGGACGAACCCGAGGAAACUCGGGCUAAUACCGGAUGUGGUGCCUGGACUCAAGUCCGGUCACUAAAGGUAGCUUCGGCUUCCGCAUUGGGAGGGGCCCGCGGCCCAUUAGCUUGUUGGUGGGGUCAAGGCCUACCAAGGCAACGAUGGGUAGCUGGUCUGAGAGGACGAUCAGCCACACUGGGACUGAGACACGGCCCAGACUCCUACGGGAGGCAGCAGUGGGGAAUCUUGCGCAAUGCGCGAAAGCGUGACGCAGCAACACCGCGUGAGGGAAGACGGCCUUAGGGUUGUAAACCUCUUUCAGAUGGGACGAAGGUGAUGCGGUGAAUAGCCGAUGUCAUUGACGGUACCGUCAGAAGAAGCUCCGGCUAACUACGUG
Molecule: ribosomal RNA, 478 nt
Filed under: uncultured bacterium
Lineage: Bacteria
Description: bacterial SSU rRNA
Rfam family: Bacterial small subunit ribosomal RNA
Source: RNAcentral